UGUGGAAUUAGUUCGAACGAUUAAUUUUCGAAAACGUACGUUAUUUAGGGGCACGCGAAAAUCGACUUUUUAUACGUAUGGAAUUUGGGAAAACUUCCUUCAUGAAAGUUGUAGAGCUCGUCGACACGAUCGCGUGCAUAUAUGGAACGCAAAAAUCGGAGCUCGUAUGAAUUAGUUAUGUUUUUUUGAAAACGUUUCCAGUUUAAUAUAAAAGCUUCCUUUUUUGUUAAUUUUUCCAAAAAUACAUUAAGUUUCCAAAAUUGGAAACUGAACAUUCUCUCUCUUCCUCACGCGUCCGAAACCGACGGAAACUGGGCAAUCCUUCGCCGGCGUCUAUCUUCCAAUUCCGGCCACCUCUGGACGAGCAACCACGUCCAUCAGCUUCGCCUCACUCCUCCGAAGCCAUCUGUGGCAACCUUGCACGGCGGCACGGCCCCUAGCGGCGGCGGUGGCCCGGUUUCGAUUUAAGCUCGAUUUUGGUCAACGCCGGUUUUCUCCUAGCUCCGGCCACCAAAACUUCCGAUCCUUGGCUCCAUGAACUCCCCUCAACCUGCUGAUCAUCAUACUAGGAGGAUUGCACCUAGAGUGACCGGUUUCACGUUCGUCGGAGCUCGUGGGUUCCCCUUGAUGUUAUUAACAACUCUCUAGAAGGCAUCGAGGCCUGAAAUUGAAGCUUUGACGUCGAAAUCGAGCCUUGCCGGAUUCUGCAAAAUUCUGGAAUUUUUCCGACCACCGAAGCUUUCGAUCGGUAUAUCUCGAGCUACAGACCAUAUUUUUCUGUGAUUCUUGAACCAGUGAGUUCUUCUUGAGUUUCUUAACAACUCUUCAGAAGGAAUCGAAGCCUUAAAUUGACGUUUUUAUGUCGAAUUGGAGCUCGCCGUUUUCUGCAGUUUCUCGCCGGUUUCUGGAAAAUUCCGGCCACCUUCAUACUGUUCAAGGUGAUUGACGAAUCGAGUUGGUGGACGAUUCAGAUGGAUAUGUGGCUUUUAGAAGACGCAGCUGGAAUUGGAGCGGGUAAUCCUACAGGACAGGAGAACCAGGACGGUGAUCGUGCGGUUAAAGCAAUUGUUAGAGUUUUACAGCAAUUGUAAGUUGUGAGGUGUGUUAUGCUCAUUUGAGCUUUACAAUAUUGCUUGUGAGAGUGGAUUGUAAUAAUGAACUCGAAGUUUCGAGAUUUGGAUUUUUGUAAUUGUAAUUAUUCAUGUUUCGGAUUUGAAUUUAUUAUUCAAAAUUCGGGGCGUGACAGUUUGGUAUCAGAGCGUAAGGUACAUAUUUGGUGAUAAUCAAUACUUCCCGAGUGAUGGCCCGUCUGCAGCGGAUCCCCAUCAUAUACUCUUCGGUAUUGGUAUAAUCAUUGGGUAUGUCUUAGUAUGGGGUCUAGACAGCGUGUAUGUCCGUAGGACGGUAGAGUUGCCUUCUAAGUUCGUAUUAGAAUAAGUUUAGUUUCCGCGAGUUGUGAUCUUCGAGGAAUGGAAACCUCCGGAUUUAACUCUGAUGAGUCAGUGAGGAUUGUUUAUGGAAAUGAGUUUCCGUUUGUAUGUAGAAGUGUUUGGUUGAAGGCAUGGUGUGAACCUAUGCUUGUAUCUGAUGUGGAUACGAGUAUUAAUUGAUAGUAAUUUUGCCUUCUUAAGUUGGACAUACAGAUGCAUUUGAAUAGAUUCUAGACUCAUGUGGAGUUGUGAGUAGUGUUGCGGUUAGGGAAGAAAUUAUUGUGGUUAAUUCUUCCAUGUGCUUGUAAGUUGUUGAGCAGAGUUCGAGAUGCGAGAACGGAGUUUGAUCUCGUGUUUGAGUGAUUGAGACGAACGACUAUAUAUUUGAAUUCUCUCCGAGUACCUACAAUCUUAAGGGCUAUUUGAAGUGGGACUAGUGGUAGUUUUGGUAUUUCUAAAUUUAAAUCGAGAUCCGAGGAACAUGUUUUGUAUACGUGGUGGAUAUUGCGAGCAUCAUUUUUGAUUGAUAUUUUGCGUUUCACAAAGACAACUGGAUUGGAAAUUCUCCGUUUGGACACCUUGGUCUGUUGACCUGACUAUGACUUGUGGACAUAGUUUUAUUUAAGUGAAGGAAAUUGAUUUUGUGAACUAGUUUUCUUAAGUUUUGGAUCGUAGUAUGGAGUUGGACUGAAGUGAAUUUGAGGUUGUUGUGUUUUAAGUUUAAGUAGGCGGGACACUUAAAGUUUUGAAAUGGAAUUUGAUCUUGGUCGGUAAUUAAUGGGGAGAAUUAGAGUCAACUCUCUGUAAAUGUUAUUAGAUGAGGGUGUGUUUCUGUGGUGAUGGAUUUUAGGAGAAAUGGUUAAGUGCAAUUUUGGGUAUUGAUUGUAGUGACAUUGUUGGGUAUCCAUAGUGGUUCAAGUGAAUUACUAUGCGAUAUGGAGUUUGAUUCGGUUUCUAAAUCGUAAAUUCAUAGGGUAUGAAUUGUGGUAAGUUUAAUGGAGAAAUUAAUAGAGGAAAUGGUUGAGAUUUUAUAAGAUUUGUAUGAGUAACUCUAAGGAUGUGGGUUUUUCCUAGCUAACUCAGGAUGUGUUUAGCUUUAUUAAACCCUAA
Long non-coding RNA from Rosa rugosa (rugosa rose), 2540 nucleotides. RefSeq lists it as uncharacterized. The transcript is spliced from 4 exons. NCBI's taxonomy places the organism in Eukaryota, Viridiplantae, Streptophyta, Magnoliopsida, Rosales, Rosaceae. The record is from RefSeq and is a predicted model, not a curated record.